Molecule: ribosomal RNA, 517 nt
Filed under: uncultured bacterium
Lineage: Bacteria
Description: partial 16S ribosomal RNA
Rfam family: Bacterial small subunit ribosomal RNA
Source: RNAcentral
UGGGGAAUUUUGGACAAUGGGCGAAAGCCUGAUCCAGCAAUGCCGCGUGUGUGAAGAAGGCCUUCGGGUUGUAAAGCACUUUUGUCCGGAAAGAAAUCCUUGGCUCUAAUACAGUCGGGGGAUGACGGUACCGGAAGAAUAAGCACCGGCUAACUACGUGCCAGCAGCCGCGGUAAUACGUAGGGUGCAAGCGUUAAUCGGAAUUACUGGGCGUAAAGCGUGCGCAGGCGGUUUGCUAAGACCGAUGUGAAAUCCCCGGGCUCAACCUGGGAACUGCAUUGGUGACUGGCAGGCUAGAGUAUGGCAGAGGGGGGUAGAAUUCCACGUGUAGCAGUGAAUGCGUAGAGAUGUGGAGGAAUACCGAUGGCGAAGGCAGCCCCCUGGGCCAAUACUGACGCUCAUGCACGAAAGCGUGGGGAGCAAACAGGAUUAGAUACCCUGGUAGUCCACGCCCUAAACGAUGUCAACUAGCUGUUGGGGUCUUCGGACCUUGGUAGCGCAGCUAACGCGUGAAGUU